AUUUGUGAUUUGGGUUUUUUUUUGCAAUAAAGUUAAGGCUAAUACUCUUGACUGUUUUGUAAAAUUAGAGAAACUUUUGCAGUUGAAAUUUAUAGGUGUCUAGAGGGUUGAGUAUGCCGAGUGCAUACAAAAGUUUAUAUUAAUCUGACGGAAUAGAUAGAGGUUAUUUGACCAUUAGCAUAAAGAGGUAUCGAAAGUUAGUAGAUUGGGGUUGUUUAGGGUUUCUGUAAUAUCUGGAGAUCUACCAAUUGGAAUAAGGUGACUUUUGGCAUAAUAAGUCGAGGACUUCUAGGCGGCGGUCAAGAUACAUCAAUGUGGAUUUACGGCAUUUUUUUGCAAUCUGUAAAUUAGAUUGGAUUGAAACUUCUCGAGCAUUUAGAAGGUUUGCAAAGACACUAGUGAUAGAAGUUUAUAACAAUCGGAUGGUCAGAUUGAGAAUUACAGCUUGUUGAAG
Molecule: long non-coding RNA, 454 nt
Filed under: Physcomitrium patens
Lineage: Eukaryota; Viridiplantae; Streptophyta; Bryopsida; Funariales; Funariaceae
Description: long non-coding RNA (PPAT_LNC004865)
Source: RNAcentral